Molecule: ribosomal RNA, 2453 nt
Filed under: Enterococcus faecalis EnGen0331
Lineage: Bacteria; Bacillati; Bacillota; Bacilli; Lactobacillales; Enterococcaceae
Description: bacterial LSU rRNA
Rfam family: Bacterial large subunit ribosomal RNA
Source: RNAcentral
UUAAGUGAAUAAGGGCGCACGGUGGAUGCCUUGGCACUAGGAGCCGAUGAAGGACGGGACUAACACCGAUAUGCUUUGGGGAGCUGUAAGUAAGCUAUGAUCCAGAGAUUUCCGAAUGGGGGAACCCAAUAUCUUUUAUAGGAUAUUACUUUUCAGUGAAUACAUAGCUGAUUAGAGGUAGACGCAGAGAACUGAAACAUCUUAGUACCUGCAGGAAGAGAAAGAAAAUUCGAUUCCCUGAGUAGCGGCGAGCGAAACGGGAAGAGCCCAAACCAACAAGCUUGCUUGUUGGGGUUGUAGGACUCCAAUAUGGUAGUCUGUUAGUAUAGUUGAAGGAUUUGGAAAAUUCCGCUAAAGAGGGUGAAAGCCCCGUAGACGAAAUGCUGACAACACCUAGGAGGAUCCUGAGUACGGCGGAACACGAGAAAUUCCGUCGGAAUCCGCGGGGACCAUCCCGCAAGGCUAAAUACUCCCUAGUGACCGAUAGUGAACCAGUACCGUGAGGGAAAGGUGAAAAGCACCCCGGAAGGGGAGUGAAAUAGAUCCUGAAACCGUGUGCCUACAACAAGUCAAAGCUCGUUAAUGAGUGAUGGCGUGCCUUUUGUAGAAUGAACCGGCGAGUUACGAUUGCAUGCGAGGUUAAGUCGAAGAGACGGAGCCGCAGCGAAAGCGAGUCUGAAUAGGGCGAAUGAGUAUGUAGUCGUAGACCCGAAACCAUGUGAUCUACCCAUGUCCAGGUUGAAGGUGCGGUAAAACGCACUGGAGGACCGAACCCACGUACGUUGAAAAGUGCGGGGAUGAGGUGUGGGUAGCGGAGAAAUUCCAAACGAACUUGGAGAUAGCUGGUUCUCUCCGAAAUAGCUUUAGGGCUAGCCUCGGAAUUGAGAAUGAUGGAGGUAGAGCACUGUUUGGACUAGGGGCCCAUCUCGGGUUACCGAAUUCAGAUAAACUCCGAAUGCCAUUCAUUUAUAUCCGGGAGUCAGACUGCGAGUGAUAAGAUCCGUAGUCGAAAGGGAAACAGCCCAGACCACCAGCUAAGGUCCCAAAAUAUAUGUUAAGUGGAAAAGGAUGUGGGGUUGCACAGACAACUAGGAUGUUGGCUUAGAAGCAGCCACCAUUUAAAGAGUGCGUAAUAGCUCACUAGUCGAGUGACCCUGCGCCGAAAAUGUACCGGGGCUAAACAUAUUACCGAAGCUGUGGACUACACCAUUAGGUGUAGUGGUAGGAGAGCGUUCUAAGGGCGUUGAAGGUCGAUCGUGAGGACGGCUGGAGCGCUUAGAAGUGAGAAUGCCGGUAUGAGUAGCGAAAGACAGGUGAGAAUCCUGUCCACCGUAUGACUAAGGUUUCCUGGGGAAGGCUCGUCCGCCCAGGGUUAGUCGGGACCUAAGCCGAGGCCGAUAGGCGUAGGCGAUGGACAACAGGUUGAUAUUCCUGUACCAGUUGUUUUUGUUUGAGCAAUGGAGGGACGCAGUAGGCUAAGGAAUGCAUGCGAUUGGAAGUGCAUGUCCAAGCAAUGAGUCUUGAGUAGAGUUAAAUGCUUUACUCUUUAAGGACAAGUUGUGACGGGGAGCGAAAUAAUAGUAGCGAAGUUCCUGAUGUCACACUGCCAAGAAAAGCUUCUAGUGAGAAAACAACUGCCCGUACCGUAAACCGACACAGGUAGUCGAGGAGAGUAUCCUAAGGUGAGCGAGCGAACUCUCGUUAAGGAACUCGGCAAAAUGACCCCGUAACUUCGGGAGAAGGGGUGCUGACUUCGGUCAGCCGCAGUGAAUAGGCCCAAGCGACUGUUUAUCAAAAACACAGGUCUCUGCAAAAUCGUAAGAUGAAGUAUAGGGGCUGACGCCUGCCCGGUGCUGGAAGGUUAAGAGGAUGGGUUAGCUUCGGCGAAGCUCAGAAUUGAAGCCCCAGUAAACGGCGGCCGUAACUAUAACGGUCCUAAGGUAGCGAAAUUCCUUGUCGGGUAAGUUCCGACCCGCACGAAAGGCGUAACGAUUUGGGCACUGUCUCAACGAGAGACUCGGUGAAAUUUUAGUACCUGUGAAGAUGCAGGUUACCCGCGACAGGACGGAAAGACCCCAUGGAGCUUUACUGUAGUUUGAUAUUGAGUGUUUGUACCACAUGUACAGGAUAGGUAGGAGCCGAUGAGACCGGAACGCUAGUUUCGGAGGAGGCGCUGGUGGGAUACUACCCUUGUGUUAUGAACCCUCUAACCCGCACCACUAAUCGUGGUGGGAGACAGUGUCAGAUGGGCAGUUUGACUGGGGCGGUCGCCUCCUAAAAGGUAACGGAGGCGCCCAAAGGUUCCCUCAGAAUGGUUGGAAAUCAUUCGAAGAGUGUAAAGGCAGAAGGGAGCUUGACUGCGAGACCUACAAGUCGAGCAGGGACGAAAGUCGGGCUUAGUGAUCCGGUGGUUCCGCAUGGAAGGGCCAUCGCUCAACGGAUAAAAGCUACCC